Molecule: ribosomal RNA, 428 nt
Filed under: uncultured bacterium
Lineage: Bacteria
Description: bacterial SSU rRNA
Rfam family: Bacterial small subunit ribosomal RNA
Source: RNAcentral
UGGGGAAUUUUGCGCAAUGGGCGAAAGCCUGACGCAGCAACGCCGCGUGAGUGAUGAAGGUCUUCGGAUCGUAAAGCUCUUUCGGCUGGGACGAAAACGGCCGGGUUAACAGCCCGGUCCUUGACGGUACCGGAAGAAGAAGCACCGGCUAACUCUGUGCCAGCAGCCGCGGUAAUACAGAGGGUGCAAGCGUUGUUCGGAAUUAUUGGGCGUAAAGCGCGUGUAGGCUGCGGAGCAUGUCGGGUGUGAAAGCCCUCGGCUUAACCGAGGAAGUGCGCCCGAAACUGCUCUGCUGGAGUGCUGGAGAGGGUAGCGGAAUUCCCGGUGUAGAGGUGAAAUUCGUAGAUAUCGGGAGGAACACCAGUGGCGAAGGCGGCUACCUGGACAGACACUGACGCUGAGACGCGAAAGCGUGGGGAGCAAACAGG